UGGGGAAUUUUGCACAAUGGGGGAAACCCUGAUGCAGCGACGCCGCGUGAUUUAGAAGGCCUUCGGGUUGUAAAAAUCUUUUCUAUUGGAAGAAAAUGACAGUACCAUAGGAAUAAGGACCGGCUAAUUACGUGCCAGCAGCCGCGGUAAUACGUAAGGUCCGAGCGUUGUCCGGAAUCAUUGGGCGUAAAGGGUACGUAGGCGGGUAAGCAAGUUAGAAGUGAAAUCCUAUAGCUCAACUAUAGUAAGCUUUUAAAACUGCUCAUCUUGAGGUAUGGAAGGGAAAGUGGAAUUCCUAGUGUAGCGGUGAAAUGCGCAGAUAUUAGGAGGAAUACCGGUGGCGAAGGCGACUUUCUGGCCAUAACCUGACGCUGAGGUACGAAAGCGUGGGUAGCAAACAGG
This 402-nucleotide ribosomal RNA is filed under the name bacterium. Its description in RNAcentral is "partial 16S ribosomal RNA". It matches the Rfam family "Bacterial small subunit ribosomal RNA", at positions 355 to 776 of the family's 1533-position model. The record is from RNAcentral.